This 253-nucleotide ribosomal RNA is filed under the name uncultured bacterium. RNAcentral's name for it is "partial 16S ribosomal RNA". It matches the Rfam family "Bacterial small subunit ribosomal RNA", at positions 524 to 776 of the family's 1533-position model. The record is from RNAcentral.
UACGUAGGGUGCGAGCGUUAAUCGGAAUCACUGGGCGUAAAGCGCACGUAGGCGGAUUUGUAAGUCAGGGGUGAAAUCCCGGGGCUCAACCUCGGAACUGCCUUUGAUACUGCGAAUCUUGAGUCCGAUAGAGGUGGGUGGAAUUCCUAGUGUAGAGGUGAAAUUCGUAGAUAUUAGGAAGAACACCAGUGGCGAAGGCGGCCCACUGGAUCGGUACUGACGCUGAGGUGCGAAAGCGUGGGGAGCAAACAGG